CAAUAGCGUAUAUUAAAGUUGUUGCAGUUAAAAGCUCGUAGUUGGAUUUCGGAGUGGCACGGCCGGUCCGCCGCAAGGUGUGUCACUGGCCGGGCCGCUCUUCUUCGCAAAGACUUUGUGUGCUCUUGACUGAGUGUGCGGAGGACUUGCGACGUUUACUUUGAAAAAUUAGAGUGUUCAAAGCAGGCCAGCGCUUGAAUACAUAAGCAUGGAAUAAUGGAAUAGGACUUUGGUUCUAUUUUGUUGGUUUCUGGAACCGAAGUAAUGAUUGAGAGGGACAGUUGGGGGCAUUCGUAUUUCGUUGUCAGAGGUGAAAUUCUUGGAUUUACGAAAGACGAACUACUGCGAAAGCAUUUGCCAAGAAUGUUUUCAUUAAUCAAGAACGAAAGUUAGAGGAUCGAAGACGAUCAGAUACCAU
Molecule: ribosomal RNA, 418 nt
Filed under: uncultured eukaryote
Lineage: Eukaryota
Description: SSU rRNA
Rfam family: Eukaryotic small subunit ribosomal RNA
Source: RNAcentral